RNAcentral lists this ribosomal RNA (490 nucleotides) under uncultured bacterium. RNAcentral's name for it is "partial 16S ribosomal RNA". It matches the Rfam family "Bacterial small subunit ribosomal RNA", at positions 30 to 507 of the family's 1533-position model. The record is from RNAcentral.
AUUGAACGCUGGCGGCAGGCCUAACACAUGCAAGUCGGACGGUAACAGGAAGAAGCUUGCUUCUUUGCUGACGAGUGGCGGACGGGUGAGUAAUGUCUGGGAAACUGCCUGAUGGAGGGGGAUAACUACUGGAAACGGUAGCUAAUACCGCAUAACGUCGCAAGACCAAAGAGGGGGACCUUCGGGCCUUUUGCCAUCGGAUGUGCCCAGAUGGGAUUAGCUAGUAGGUGGGGUAACGGCUCACCUAGGCGACGAUCCCUAGCUGGUCUGAGAGGAUGACCAGCCACACUGGAACUGAGACACGGUCCAGACUCCUACGGGAGGCAGCAGUGGGGAAUAUUGCACAAUGGGCGCAAGCCUGAUGCAGCCAUGCCGCGUGUAUGAAGAAGGCCUUCGGGUUGUAAAGUACUUUCAGCGGGGAGGAAGGGAGUAAAGUUAAUACCUUUGCUCAUUGACGUUACCCGCAGAAGAAGCACCGGCUAACUCCGUG